This 545-nucleotide ribosomal RNA is filed under the name Pseudomonas putida. RNAcentral's name for it is "bacterial SSU rRNA". It matches the Rfam family "Bacterial small subunit ribosomal RNA", at positions 1 to 541 of the family's 1533-position model. The record is from RNAcentral. Lineage: Bacteria; Pseudomonadati; Pseudomonadota; Gammaproteobacteria; Pseudomonadales; Pseudomonadaceae.
GAACUGAAGAGUUUGAUCAUGGCUCAGAUUGAACGCUGGCGGCAGGCCUAACACAUGCAAGUCGAGCGGUUGAAGGAAGCUUGCUUCCUGAUUCAGCGGCGGACGGGUGAGUAAUGCCUAGGAAUCUGCCUGGUAGUGGGGGACAACGUUUCGAAAGGAACGCUAAUACCGCAUACGUCCUACGGGAGAAAGCAGGGGACCUUCGGGCCUUGCGCUAUCAGAUGAGCCUAGGUCGGAUUAGCUAGUUGGUGAGGUAAUGGCUCACCAAGGCGACGAUCCGUAACUGGUCUGAGAGGAUGAUCAGUCACACUGGAACUGAGACACGGUCCAGACUCCUACGGGAGGCAGCAGUGGGGAAUAUUGGACAAUGGGCGAAAGCCUGAUCCAGCCAUGCCGCGUGUGUGAAGAAGGUCUUCGGAUUGUAAAGCACUUUAAGUUGGGAGGAAGGGCAGUAAGCGAAUACCUUGCUGUUUUGACGUUACCGACAGAAUAAGCACCGGCUAACUCUGUGCCAGCAGCCGCGGUAAUACAGAGGGUGCAAGCGU